Long non-coding RNA from Sycon ciliatum, 448 nucleotides. RefSeq lists it as uncharacterized. The transcript has 3 exons. NCBI's taxonomy places the organism in Eukaryota, Metazoa, Porifera, Calcarea, Leucosolenida, Sycettidae. The record is from RefSeq and is a predicted model, not a curated record.
GGUCUAAUCACGGGUACUGCUCCACUAUAUACGGCAACAUGCACCAGUGGAUAUCUGCUAUCUGGCAGCAUCAAUGUCACAUGCCUUAAUGCAACCACAAACACACCUUUACCAACAUGUAUCGAGCAAUGCCCUGUUCUGGCUAUAAACGAUGCAGGAUACAAUACGAUGACAAGAGUGGUUGGGGUAACUGUUACUGUAUCUUGCAGCUCAGGAUUUGAAGUAGUGGGAUCUGCCGCAGUCACUUGCAUGACAGGUGGCAGCUGGUCAACACUGCCGACCUGUGUCGCAAUGUGUCCAACACCCACAAUUUCUCAAGCCACAUACAGCACCAGUUCCAGGUUGGUAGGUGCAGUCGUGGAUGUAAUGUGCAGCACUGGAUUCCAAUUGGUUGGGUCACAACAAAUAAUCUGUUCAGCAAGUAGCAUUUGGUCAGCUCAACCGGUAU